CUCAACUCUAGGGGGCCCGCAUUAUCCUAACUGCAUAUUUUUUAAUCCAAUGGCUAAAAAUCUACAAACACCAAUAACUUUGUACUUUUGAAAACAUAGGAGCUCAAUUCUAUAUAUAUAUAGGUUAGGGCUACUAUCCUAUUAAUAGGAUAGUAGCACUUGUCCUAUCAAAUUGUUCUUGAUGAUAUAGAUUCCGAAUCGAUGAUCGGAGCUAUUGAAGUUGAUCUAGAGUAUUUGAAAUAUCUAGAAACUAAAUUUUAUAAAUUUUAAAAAUUAUUUACAUGGUGAUCAAAGUGUCGUAAAAUCGAGAAUUUUUGACGGCCUAUAUGAGCCGUUUACUUGUUUAACAGUGUAGAGUAAUCCAAAUUGCUUAAAUUGUUUAUAGAAAAUUCUUUAUACUAUUUAGAUAAUGUUUGAUAACUCUGAUUAUGAUUUGAGAAAGUCUAACCUCUAUUUUAAGAAAAUUAUUCAUUUAUGACUGUUCAUUUUUCAACUCUUAAGCUGAAUUUGAUAAUAAUUUUUAAAUAUUACAAAAUUUGGUUUCUAAACAUUUCUAAUUGUGUAGAUCAAUUUCAAC
RNAcentral lists this long non-coding RNA (577 nucleotides) under Ananas comosus (pineapple). RNAcentral's name for it is "long non-coding RNA (ACOM_LNC027242)". The record is from RNAcentral. Lineage: Eukaryota; Viridiplantae; Streptophyta; Magnoliopsida; Poales; Bromeliaceae.